CCAUGUCCGUCGUCAGUGUUGUAUCUGAAGCCUCCUGUUUAGUCAGGCAACGGAGUGAGACCCACGCCCAACAGUUGCUAGCAUGUUCUCCGGAAUGAUGAGGACACUGUUGGGACCGCCUCUGGUAAAGAGGAGGAAGGAAUGGGCAACGGUAGGUCAGCAUGCCCCGAAUUAUCCGGGCUACACGCGGGCUACAAUGGUCAGGACAAUGGGAAACGGCACUGAAAAGUGUAGUCAAUCUCCUAAACCUGUCCCAAGUUCGGAUUGUGGGCUGCAACUCGCCCACAUGAAGCUGGAAUCCGUAGUAAUCGCGUUUCAAAAUAGCGCGGUGAAUAAGUCCCUGCUCCUUGCACACACCGCCCGUCAAACCAUCUUAGUGAGGUUUGGAUGAGGCUGUGGUUAACUGCCACAGUCGAAUCUAGGUUUCGCAAGGAGGGUUAAGUCGUAACAAGGUAGCCG
This 459-nucleotide ribosomal RNA is filed under the name uncultured archaeon. RNAcentral describes it as "bacterial SSU rRNA". It matches the Rfam family "Archaeal small subunit ribosomal RNA", at positions 992 to 1449 of the family's 1478-position model. The record is from RNAcentral.